UGGAUUACAUAUUGGAAUGGUCUGUCAUGGACCCGGUCUAACUUGCUUGAUUUUUUUGUUUUUUCUUUUUUUUAUCAAGGGCCUAACUGGCUUGUUAUUUCGAGUUCUUAAGCAUUUGAUUUGAAGAAAUAUUAAGAAAGUUCUUAUUGCCAUAGCUAACUUAAUCAAUAAGUGAAGUUAUUUACAAGUGAUUCAAAUAUUGAUGAAGUUACCAAAUGGGGAUAAAAAUAUAAACAAAUAAACCAUCAAUUAAUAAUGUCAUUAAUAUCGUAUACAUAUACAUCAAUAAAUAAUAAUAAAACGGCAACCAUAAUAGCAACAAAGAAUGAAUCAACCUCAAAAAAAAAAAAAAGGAAAGAAAGAAAAAGCACCCUCUCUCCAAAAUUUAUAACAUAACAUUACUCCAAUUCAGAACAUCUAAUGCUUCAAAAGACCCAUAAGAGAAACCAAAAGAGAUGCUCCAAUUACAGCACCAGAAACUGGCAAAGAAAACCCAGCUCCAGCAUCCAUCCCAGGAGCAGGUGCAGGUGCCUCUUGAGCAGAAACCGCCACCACCAAAGCUGCCAUUACAGCAAUCAGAGCAAAUACAUUGAAGAUGCUAACUUGGGCCAUUGCUAAAUUCACCAAAGAAAACACAGAGAAACAAAAAUAGAAAACUAAAUGAAAGAUAGAGAGAGAGAGAGAUUGAUUUGAUAUGUUUCUUUGGUUGGGUUUAGCAGAAGAAGAGAGGAUGUGUUAUGUUUAUGUUGUGAGCUGUGAGAUAAUGGGUAUUUAUAGGGCCUUAAAAGACAGUUUCUUUUGAGGAGGACUGAAAUGUAAUUACGGGUUUUGUCUGCAACGUUCGAUUAACGGUAACAACCGUACUUUUUUAAAACAAUUUUGGGUAGCGUGUAUAGCACAGCUGUCCGACACGUGGCUGGGAAAUAAGUGGUGUAAGAAGCGCAGUCAGCGGACGGCGCCGUAUCUUAUUUUGACACUUUAGAUGGUUUAUUCCUUUUCUUUUGGGUUCUUUGAAAUUCAAUUCUGUGUCUUGCAAAAUCUAUGUCCGUAGCAAUUAUUAGAUGGAUA
RNAcentral lists this long non-coding RNA (1068 nucleotides) under Ricinus communis (castor bean). RNAcentral's name for it is "long non-coding RNA (RCOM_LNC002075)". Lineage: Eukaryota; Viridiplantae; Streptophyta; Magnoliopsida; Malpighiales; Euphorbiaceae. The record is from RNAcentral.